This 4465-nucleotide long non-coding RNA is filed under the name Homo sapiens (human). Its description in RNAcentral is "non-protein coding lnc-CCDC125-1:6". Lineage: Eukaryota; Metazoa; Chordata; Mammalia; Primates; Hominidae. The record is from RNAcentral.
AUCCGGGCUCUACUGGUGAAAAUAACUGCAGACGGCUGGUAAAAAGUUGGAAUAGCUUUCGUUAAGCGUCGGAUGUGUAGAGUGCUGAGUUAGGGGCUGGACUAGAGACGUUGGGACAUCUCCCGGGAACAGCAGCCUGGAGGGGAAAAAUCUCCUGACCUAAGUGGUCAUUCGGCCUUGGCGCUUGGACACGGGAGUGCGGCGACAGCCAUAUGUCCAUCCAUCUUGGCACUUUUCCGUCCUCUGCCUUUGAAGAUGGGUGUGCCCGGCAGGCUGUGAAAGAUAAACAUUAGAGGGUUGUUUAGAAGACUUUUUUGACCUGAGCCCAUGAGGUGCAUACCCUUUGUUUGGCGGAGAAACCAGUGGCUUCUGAAGAUCAGGGACGGGCCACAAGUGCGAGGCAUUGCAGACAUUUCGAACCCAGACUUCCAGCCUGGAGACAUCCACACGCUUCCAGUUUCUUGCACUGGUACUUCAUUCUGUCAUUAUGAUUGCCACCACUCGUAACUGAGAGUUGCGUGCCCUCAAGUUUUGAGUGUCUGCAGGGUACCUUUGAGCUUUCUUAGCUGUGUAGUGAGUGGGGGGAAUGGAGAAAAUGAAGGACAGAUGACUGAUUUGUAGUUUUUCAUUUGGACACUGUCCUUGCCGCACAAGCACAGCAGCUUGAACCUCUUUGAACAAGAGUCGAGAGUUCUUUUACAGCUAAUUACCCACUAGUUAAACUUGAUCAUACUGUGCUGUUUUCUUCCUCUCCAUUGUCAAUGUAAUACGGCUCCUGACAAAAGUUAAAUUCGCUGGGCGUGGUGGCUCACCCCUGUACUCCCAGCACUUUGGGGGCUGAGGCGGGUGGAUCACCUGAAGUCAGGAAUUCAAGACCAGCCUGGCCAACAUGGUGAAACCCCGUCUCUACUAAAAAUACAAAAGUUAGCUGCGUGUGGUGGCGGGCGCCUGUAAUCCCAGCUACUCAGGAGGCUGAGGCAGGAGAAUCGUUUGAACCCGGGGGGGCGGAGGUUGCAGUGAGCUGAGAUCGCGCCACUGCACUUCAGCCUGGGUGACAGAGUGAAACUCCGUCUCAAAAAAAAAAAAAAAAGCCGGGCGCUGUGGCUCACACCUAUAAUCCCAGCACUUUGGGAAGCCGAGGGGGGAGGAUCUCGAGGUCAGGAGUUGGAGACCAGCCUGACCAACAUGGAGAAACCUCGUCUCUACUAAAAAUACAAAAUUAGCCAGGCGUGGUGGUGGGCACCUGUAAUCCCAGCUACUGGGGAGGCCGAGGCAGGAGAAUCCUUUGAUCCCGGGAAGCAGAGGUUGCAGUGAGCCGAGAUCACACCAGAGAUGCACGCCAGCCUGGGCAACAGAGCAAGAUUCCUUCUCGAAAAACAAACAAACAAACAAAAAAACAGUUCAAAAGACACAGAAUGGACUGGUGGCGAUGGCCCACGCCUGUAAUCCCAGCACUUUGGGAAGCCAAAGCGGAAGGAUCGCUUGAAGUCAGGAGAACAGCCUGGGCAGCAUAGUGAGACCUCGUUUCUACUUAAAACAAAAACAAACAAACAAACAAAAAAACAACAGGUGUGGUGACUUAGACCUGUGGUCCCAGCUACUCAGGAGGCUGAGAUGGGAGGAUCACUUGGGCCCCAGCCGUUGAGGACUGCAGUGACCUAUGAUCGCACCACUGCUCUCCAUCCUGGGUGACAGAGUGAGACCCUGUCUCAAAAAAAAAAAAAAGCACAGGAUGUAAAAUCAGGCAUUAGGUUUGCUAUUCCUACAUGUAAACUUAUGGAACAUUUUCUUGUUUCCUUUCAUUUUGUUUUACAAAAAGGAUGAUCCCAUUGUUAACUUUUUCUCUUUACCACUUAGUGGAUGCCUUCCACUGUCUCACCACAAUCUUAUCCUUUUAAGCAGUUGCCUAUCAGGUGUCUCCACUGCUCACAUUUGGGACAAAAAUAAUGCAAUGUGCAGUCGCUCACGCCUGUAAUCCCACCACUUUGGGAGGCCAAAGUGAGCAGAUCACCUGAGGUCAGUAGUUUGAGACCAGCCUGGCCAACAUGGUAAAACCCCAUCUCUACUAAAAAUACAAAAAAGACUGUCUCAAAAUUUUUUUUUAUAAAAAUAAUAAUGCAAUGGUUAUCCAACCGUGAGAAUUCGGAGGAGACCUUGUUAAAACACAUUUCUGGGUGUCUCUAGGAUUGUUUUGCAUUUGUAACAAGUUCCCAGGUAAAGUUGCUCUUGCUUAUUGAGGAGGACACUUUGAGAACCACCACCAUAAAGGGUCAUAAAACGCAAUUAAAAAAAAAAUUCACAGUAAAACAAAAAAGGGUGGGUGUAAGGCCCUGCAUGGUGGCUGAUGCCUAUAAUCCUAGCACUUUGGGAAGGCGAGGCAGGCAGAUCACUUGAGGCCAGGAGUUUGAGGCCAGCAUGGCCAACAUCGCGAAACCCCAUCUCUACUAAAAAUACAAAAAUUAAUCAGGCACAGGGGCACACGCUUGUAAUCCCAGCUACUCGGGAGGCUGAGACAGGAAAAUCGCUUGAACCAGGGAGGCUGAGGUUGCAGUGAGCCAAGAUAGCACCACUGCAUUCCAGCCUGGGUGACAGAGUGAGACCCUGUCUCGGGGGGUGGGGGGAAAGGGUGGGUGUGGGUAGGGAGCUAUCCAUUAAAAAGUCAAUAAUAAAGAUAGAAGAGAUGAUAGAAUUAGAAAACUACCAUCUUACCACUCCCAGGGAGAUAAAUGUCAGGAAAGUAUAAUUAAUGAGUGCUAAAACUAGAGACCAGCACUUCAGAGGAAUGUUAUAGCUAGUGGUUACCACCUUAACCAGAUGGUCAAAAUUGGUAUCAAAAAUGGUAUAACAAUCUGAUGUCUGAUUCUAAUAUAAUGCAUGAGUUGUACACAUCACCUAUAUUGCCAAAUGUGUAACCUGAACUUAACUGUGCUGAAAACAUGAGACAAGAAAUCCAGACUGAGGAACAUUCUACAAGACAAUUCAUGUCUAUGUCCUGAAACACAGAAAACAGGGCAGUUGUUCUAUAUAGAAAAACAAACCAUGAUUGAAUCUUGGAUUGGAAAAGGAAAAAAAAUAAAAGCCCUAAUACAUUUUUGGAACAACUGAGGAAAUUUGAAUAUGUUCUGCAUAUUAGAUAUUAAGUUACCAAUUUUCUUAGUGUGAUAGGAUUGUGGCAGGGUUUUUUUUUUUUUUUUGAUUUUUAGAGUCAUGGUCUCACUCAGGUUGAACCACAGGCCACCAUGCCUGGCUAAUUUUUGUAGAGACAGUGUCUUGCGCUGUUGCCCAGGCUGGUCUUAAACUCCUGGCCUCAAUUGAUCCUCCUACCCUGGCCUCCCAAAACACUGGGAUUACACCGCUGGUGUGGUGGCUCAUGCCAGUAAUCCCAGCACUUUGGGAGGCUGAGGCAAGAGGAUCUGUGGAGCCCAGGAGUUCGAGACCAGCCUGGCCAAGAUUUAAAACAAAAACAAUCAUGGGAUUACAGAUGUGAGCCACUGUGCUAGCAGAAAGAUGCCUUUUUAACAUGCCACAUCUUCAGUAACAUUAAAAAUCACCAGGCACACUUGGUUUAUCAACCAAGGAAAGCACAUACCUUUCCUUCUUUUCUUUACUUUCCUUCCUUUCCUUACUGUUCUGAGGCUUUUUAAUAAAAUUUCACUCCUGCUCUGAAACUUGCCUGGGUUUCUUCUUCUGCCUUAUGCCCCUCAGUCAAAUCCUUUCUUCUGAGGAGGCAAGAAUUGAAAAUUCUUAAAAAAACACCCAACAUCAAGCUGACAAAAAAUAAAUAAAUAAAAUCUCAAAAGAUAUUGACUGGCCAGGUGCGGUGACUCACACCUUUAAUCCCAGCACUUUAGGAGGCCGCGGUGGGCAGAUCACGAGGUCAGGAGUUCGAGACCAGCCUGACCAACAUGGUGAAACCGCAUCUCUACUAAAAAUACAAAAAUUAGCCAGGCGUAGUGGCAUGCGCCUGUAAUCCCAGCUACUCAGGAGGCUGAGGCGGGAGAAUCACUUGAAUCUGGGAGGUGGAGGUUGCAGUGAGCCAAGAUUGCGCCACUGCACUCCAGCCUGGGUGACAGAGACACCAUCUCAAAAAAAAAAAAAAAAAAAAAAAAGAAAAGAAAAGAAAAAGAAAAAGAUAUUGACUGGCCAGGUGCGGUGGCUCAUGCCUGUAAUCCCAACAGUUUGGGAGGCCGAGGCUGGCAGAUCACUUGAGGUCAGGAGUUCGAGACCAGCCUGGCCAACAUGGUGAAACCCCCUCUCUACUAAAAAUACGAAAAUCAGCUGGGCAUGGUGGUGAACACCUGUAAUCCCAGCUACUCGGGAGGCUGAGGCAGGAGAAUUGCUUGAACCAGGGAGGCAGAGGUUGCAAUGAGUCGAAAUUGUGCCAGUGCACUACAGCCUGGGCAACAGAGGGAGACUGUCUCAAACAAACAAACAAAAGUACACUCCACAGGGUGGUAGCAGGCCA